GUACUUUUGUAUAUAAAUAUAUAGAGUGUACCUUCACCUAUCGUCCGCUUAUUUGAGUGCCUUAUUGGAAUGAUGUUGAGUCCACAUGUUCAGACAGACAGGAAGUGGCUGAUUAAAUCACCUUUAUUAAAAGAUACAAGAUGCUGGAAUACCAACACUUUAGAAUGCAGAAGUACUUUACACACAGGCCCAGGCUUGUGUCCAAUAUGGCCCCUUAUUCACUAUAUAGUGCACUACUUUACACACAGGCCCAGGCUUGUGUCCAAUAUGGCCCCUUAUUCACUAUAUAGUGCACUACUUUACACACAGGGCCAGGCUUGUGUCCAAUAUGGCCCCUUAUUCACUAUAUAGUGCACUACUUUACACACAGGGCCAGGCUUGUGUCCAAUAUGGCCCCUUAUUCACUAUAUAGUGCACUACUUUACACACAGGCCCAGGCUUGUGUCCAAUAUGGCCCCUUAUUCACUAUAUAGUGCACUACUUCACACACAGGCCCAGGCUUGUGCCCAACCAAACUCACAUAGAGGCUGUAUCCAAUAUGGCCCCUUAUUCACCAUGUAGUGCACUACUUUAGACCAGAGCCCUAUUCCCUAUAUAGGGCACUACUUUAGACCAGAGCCCUAUUCCAUAUAUAGUGCACUACUUUAGACCAGAGCCCUAUUCCCUAUAUAGUGCACUACUUUAGACCAGAGCCUUAUUCCAUAUAUAGUGCACUACUUUAGACCAGAGCCCUAUUCCCUAGAUAGUGCACUACCUUUAACUACAGCAUUAUUCCAUAUAUAGUGCACUACUUUAGACCAGAGCCCUAUUCCCUAUAUAGUGCACAACAUUAUACUACAGCCCUAUUCCCUAUAUAGUGCACUACUUUAUACUACAGCCCUAUUCCCUAUAUAGUGCACUACUUUUAACCAGAGCCCUGAAUAGACCAGACACCUAAUCAUCUAUAUACAUCUUAAUCUAGCAUUGUGUUUCUCCUAUUAAUCACCCUGUGAAUGACUCUCUAUGGGUCCAGGUUAACACACUAUAAAGGGGAACAGAAUGACUCUCUAUGGGUCCAGGUUAACACACUAUAAAGGGGAACAGAAUGACUCUCUAUGGGUCCAGGUUAACACUCUAUAAAGGGGAACAGAAUGACUCUCUAUGGGUCCAGGUUAACACUCUAUAAAGGGAACAGAAUGACUCUCUAUGGGUCCAGGUUAACACUCUAUAAGGGGAACAGAAUGACUCUCUAUGGGUCCAGGUUAACACUAUAUAAAGGGGAACAGAAUGACUCUCUAUGGGUCCAGGUUAACACUCUAUAAAGGGAACAGAAUGACUCUCUAUGGGUCCAGGUUAACACUCUAUAAGGGGAACAGAAUGACUCUCUAUGGGUCGAGGUUAACACUCUAUAAGGGGAACAGAAUGACUCUCUAUGGGUCCAGGUUAACACACUAUAAAGGGAACAGAAUGACUCUAUGGGUCCAGGUUAACACUCUAUAAGGGGAACAGAAUGACUCUCUAUGGGUCCAGGUUAACACAUUAUAAAGUGAAUAAGAGUCCAUUUGGAACACAGCUACAGUAGUAAUAACAAAGGUAUUUUUUGAUCAAAAUCCCUGUAAAUAUCUGCGGUAUCCUUGCCAACCCAUUUCAAUCUGCAGGUUGGUUUUUUUCUUUUCAAAAUCACAACGUGACAGUAAACCAGUCUUUAAAGAAAAAAGAGAUCUGAAACCAUGCAACACUCAACAAGCCCACGUUACAGUUACUUCUGGGUUCGCCACCGUUUUGAAUGGCAUCAUCAAUAUCAUCAUCAUCAUCAUCAUCAUCAUCAUCAUCAAUAUCAUCAUCAUCAUCAUCAAUAUCAUGAUCAUCGUCAUCAAUAUCAUGAUCAUCAUCAUCAAUAUCAUCAUCAUCAAUAUCAUGAUCAUCAUCAUCAAUAUUAUCAUCAUCAAUAUCAUGAUCAUCAUCAAUAUCAUCAUCAUCAUCAUCAAUAUCAUGAUCAUUAUCAAUAUCAUGAUCAUCAUCAACAAUAUCAUGAUCAUCAUCAAUAUCAUCAUCAUCAAUAUCAUGAUCAUCAUCAAUAUCAUGAUCAUCAUCAUCAUCAUCAAUAUCAUCAUCAUCAUCAUCAAUAUCAUCAUCAUCAAUAUCAUGAUCAUCAUCAAUAUCAUGAUCAUCAUCAUCAUCAUCAAUAUCAUCAUCAUCAUCAUCAAUAUCAUCAUCAUCAACACUUACAACACCAUAAGACUUCACACAACAGUGACAAGGACGUUUUGACGUUUUUUUUUUUGGGGGAGACAGAAUCGAUCAAAUCUCGAAGACCUCAUCCACUGAGUUUCCAUGACAGGACAAAACGGGUCACGUCGUAGAUAGAACGGGGUUCUCUUCUGUUUCAUUAGUUCGUUACCCGAGUCCAUCGCUGCCUUUAGGCCUCAUGCUUGGUGUUAAAGGGGGACAGUGACCCCGAGCAACAGAUAUACACUACACUUCAGCAAACUAACCACUGGCACCAAACACUAACCUGCUGCUCCCAGAUCAGUGUCUAACCUCCGUGUUGGCACCAAACACUAACCUGCAGCUCCCAGAUCAGUGUCUAACCUCCGUGUUGGCACCAAACACUAACCUGCUGCUCCCAGAUCAGUGUCUAACCUCCGUGUUGGCACCAAACACUAACCUGCAGCUCCCAGAUCAGUGUCUAACCUGCUGCUCCCAGAUCAGUGUCUAACCUGCUGCUCCCAGAUCAGUGUCUAACCUGCUGCUCCCAGAUCAGUGUCUAACCUGCUGCUCCCAGAUCAGUGUCUAACCUGCUGCUCCCAGAUCAGUGUCUAACCUCCGUGUUGGCACCAAACACUAACCUGCAGCUCCCAGAUCAGUGUCUAACCUGCUGCUCCCAGAUCAGUGUCUAACCUGCUGCUCCCAGAUCAGUGUCUAACCUGCUGCUCCCAGAUCAGUGUCUAACCUGCUGCUCCCAGAUCAGUGUCUAACCUGCUGCUCCCAGAUCAGUGUCUAACCUGCUGCUCCCAGAUCAGUGUCUAACCUGCUGCUCCCAGAUCAGUGUCUA
This is a long non-coding RNA of Oncorhynchus tshawytscha (Chinook salmon), 3034 nucleotides long. The record is from Ensembl. NCBI's taxonomy places the organism in Eukaryota, Metazoa, Chordata, Actinopteri, Salmoniformes, Salmonidae.